UGGGGAAUAUUGGACAAUGGGCGAAAGCCUGAUCCAGCCAUGCCGCGUGUGUGAAGAGGGUCUUCGGAUUGUAAAGCACUUUAAGUUGGGAGGAAGGGCAGUAAGCGAAUACCUUGCUGUUUUGACGUUACCGACAGAAUAAGCACCGGCUAACUCUGUACCAGCAGCCGCGGUAAUACAGAGGGUGCAAGCGUUAAUCGGAAUUACUGGGCGUAAAGCGCGCGUAGGUGGUUCGUUAAGUUGAAUGUGAAAGCCCCGGGCUCAACCUUGGAACUGCAUCCCAAACUGGCGAGCUAGAGUAGGGCAGAGGGUGGUGGAAUUUCCUGUGUAGCGGUGAAAUGCGUAGAUAUAGGAAGGAACACCAGUGGCGAAGGCGACCACCUGGGCUCAUACUGACACUGAGGUGCGAAAGCGUGGGGAGCAAACAGG
Molecule: ribosomal RNA, 429 nt
Filed under: Pseudomonadota bacterium
Lineage: Bacteria; Pseudomonadati; Pseudomonadota
Description: Proteobacteria bacterium partial 16S ribosomal RNA
Rfam family: Bacterial small subunit ribosomal RNA
Source: RNAcentral